Cloeon dipterum is the source of this 453-nucleotide long non-coding RNA. RefSeq lists it as uncharacterized. The record is from RefSeq and is a predicted model, not a curated record. The transcript is spliced from 3 exons. NCBI's taxonomy places the organism in Eukaryota, Metazoa, Arthropoda, Insecta, Ephemeroptera, Baetidae.
GGGAAGCAUUGCCUCUGAUGGACAGUUUCCAUUUUUUGCUUUUGUUAAAAAAGACACCUCAUUUAUGUGCGGAGGAUCGUUGAUUUUGGCUGACUGGGUUUUGACAGCUGCUUUUUGCAUUGGGACACAACAUACCAUAGUUUUGGGCUCGAACUUAAUUAAUUACGUACCUCCGGGACGUGGAUACGUGGUGACAGCCUCAGCCGCAUACACACACCAGCUUUAUAAUCCAACAACUCACGCAAAUGAUAUCGCUCUUCUCAAGCUUCCCACGCCAAUUAAGUUUACUGGACUUGUUAUUCCCAUUAAACUACCCUCCAUGACAGAUGCCUCCAAGGAUUUGACUGGCACUUUGGCAACAAUCACCGGCUUUGGUCUUAUACCUCGUUGAAUUUAAUCCUCUAAAUAAAUACUUUAGAAUUAAUUGAAUAUUUACUUCUACAUAGAGAUGCC